GCGGUUUGUUAAGCGAGAUGUGAAAGCCCCGGGCUCAACCUGGGAACUGCAUUUCGAACUGGCAAACUAGAGUAUGAUAGAGGGUGGUAGAAUUUCAGGUGUAGCGGUGAAAUGCGUAGAGAUCUGAAGGAA
Molecule: ribosomal RNA, 132 nt
Filed under: Pseudoalteromonas sp. S1375
Lineage: Bacteria; Pseudomonadati; Pseudomonadota; Gammaproteobacteria; Alteromonadales; Pseudoalteromonadaceae
Description: partial 16S ribosomal RNA
Rfam family: Bacterial small subunit ribosomal RNA
Source: RNAcentral